CGCCAUUCCAGGCUCCAACUGCCACUUCCACGCAGGCUGCAGGACCACCCGUCCCAGGACCGCCAUUCCAGGCUCCAGCUGCCACUUCCACGCAGGCUGCAGGACCGCCAUUCCAGGCUCCAGCUGCCACUUCCACGCAGGCUGCAGGACCACCCGUCCCAGGACCGCCAGUCCAGGCUCCAGCUGCCACUUCCACACAGGCUGCAGGACCGCCAGUCCAGGCUCCAGCCGCCACUUUCAUGCAGGCUGACCCCAAUAUUUGAACUGCCUUUCCUAAUCAUCAUAUUGUGUCAUCUGUGUGACAUAGGGAAGACUUCUACAUGGACUCCUCUGACUCAGAAGUUGAAAUCCUCUCUGUUCUCCAGUCAGGUGCAACAACCCCAAUGAUGUCAAAUGUCUGGCUGACAUUUUGAAAAACUUUCAAAAUGACCAUCUUGACCUCAGUUGCAGUAUCACAGUCAUUGCCAGGUGCAAAAACAUUCUUCAGAGUGCAUGUGUUGCUCUAAGCAGGAGCUAUUUUGCCUGGCAUAAACUGCCACAUAUCGAGUUUGUUGGGGAGAUGGCAGAGGACUAUGGAGGUCCAAGGAGAGAGUAUUUCGUGUGUGUGGUUUUACAGACUCCUCAUGAUUGAAUUGCAGGAAAAGAUGGGCAUUUUCCAAGGAAGACCAGGGCGGCUGCUUUUCAGCUAUGACCAACGGGCGUUGGCACAAAACAAGUUUUACACUGCGGGAAAGCUGGUGGCCUGGUCCAUUAUGCACAAUGGACCAGGUGUCCGAUGCCUGAACCCAGACUUAUUUCUACUCAUGUGUGGCCAGAAGCCUGAGAUGACCUCCUUUUGAUCUGGAUAUUUUCCAGGAAGAGGAGUUUCAGAUGAAGCUUGAAAAUGUUGUGAGAUGCGGCACCAGUGAGGAGCUAGAGGAGCUCAAAUGCACAUUGGGGGACUGGAUAGCUGACUGUGGUGUGCCAAACAUUUAUACAGCCUCUGUCAG
Long non-coding RNA from Sander lucioperca (pikeperch), 989 nucleotides. RefSeq lists it as uncharacterized. The transcript is spliced from 3 exons. NCBI's taxonomy places the organism in Eukaryota, Metazoa, Chordata, Actinopteri, Perciformes, Percidae. The record is from RefSeq and is a predicted model, not a curated record.